UACGAAGGGGGCUAGCGUUGCUCGGAAUUACUGGGCGUAAAGGGCGCGUAGGCGGACAGUUUAGUCAGAGGUGAAAGCCCAGGGCUCAACCUUGGAAUAGCCUUUGAUACUGACUGUCUUGAGUUCGGGAGAGGUGAGUGGAAUGCCGAGUGUAGAGGUGAAAUGCGUAGAUAUCGGGAGGAACAUCAGUGGCGAAGGCGGCUACCUGGCCCAUAACUGACGCUGAGGCGCGAAAGCUAGGGGAGCAAACGGG
Molecule: ribosomal RNA, 253 nt
Filed under: uncultured bacterium
Lineage: Bacteria
Description: partial 16S ribosomal RNA
Rfam family: Bacterial small subunit ribosomal RNA
Source: RNAcentral